Molecule: long non-coding RNA, 2301 nt
Filed under: Haliotis rufescens (red abalone)
Lineage: Eukaryota; Metazoa; Mollusca; Gastropoda; Lepetellida; Haliotidae
Description: uncharacterized LOC124140130
Source: RNAcentral
GGUUAUGUCAGUCAACUGCACUUCGCCAGGUGGCCAAAUGGCCCAUGAGAGCAGUCCAGAAACGUGAAUCGUCCUGUCAACUUCAGCCCCUGGAAUCUACAUUUCAAAACUUUUGAGGAAAAACCGAGCAUCAUACAACCCUUGCUUUGAUGAAGAUUACAACAUUCAACGCCUCGGAACUCAGGAGACGGAGACAGGUCGCCCGUAAAUGUUAACAGAUGAGGCCAGGGUGUAUACAUUACAGAACAGGAUACCCCAAUACCCGACCUGGUCAACAACAGAAAGAAGACUGAAGCACGACGAAUUCAUUUAAUCAGGAGCCCAGUUGUGUGUUCCGUGUUUGCUUGGAGAUGCCGGAUCGCACGAGGAAGCUUAUCUGAGGAUGUUUUAAAUGGGGUGGGGGAUGGGGAGGUACAUAUCUUGAGUAGUUAGUAUUUUAAUUUGACACAACUAACUGUACAUGAUCUCCAUGGAGGCGCCCGGAUUUGAUUAGAGGAUGUUUGACCUCUGUUGACGGUCAAGGUCACAUGACAUUCAAUUAUUGAACAAAAAAGUCUGAGCCAAUAUUUUGGUUAAGUCGUUGAAAAAUCAAAGCAUUUUGUAUUGAAUAUAAACAAUAUAAACUAUCAAUAAUUAAAUCAGCACGUAUAUGGUAUGUAUAAGGCAUAUGUCUAGGUCAAUUUAAAUACCAUUGACUAGUUCAUAUUCAAAAGUAGAGAGCAGACAGUAUAUUCUGGAGACGUUGGCAUCAUACGUUUGCAACUACAAGUAGAAAUGGCCUUAGUCUUAGGAAUGUUAUGGCUACGCUGUGAAUAGUAUUUGGCUAUAUCAAGUCAAUGUCACCAGAGAUCUUAUUUAUAAGAAUCAUUUUAAUUCACUAGAAAUUUCAAUGAACGCUUGUUUCAUUAUCUGCUAUGUUGUUUGUUUGCUUGUUGUUUAACGCCGCAAUAUUCCAGCUUUAUGACGGUGGUCUUUAAAUAAUCGAGUCUGGACCAGACAAUCUACGGAUUGACAUCAUGAGCAUCAAUCCACGCAAUUGGGAUACGAUAACAUGCAUCAACCAAGUCAGCGAGUCUGUCCACCCGAUCCCGUUAGGCGCCUCUUACGACAAGCAUAGUCACCAUUAUCUACCAUGUGUCAAGGUCAUUCACACAUGGAAAGACUUGUUGUUGAACAGUGUGGUUCUGACUGUAUUAACAGUGGACUUGCUAUAGAGACUUGUAACAGCACAUUGCCGUCGCAAAUAUUCUGGGGCCAGCUCAAGGUGAGGCUGAAAGUGUCCAGGGUAUAUUUAAUCUGUAUUCAUUACCGUAGUUGAAUGCAUUGAUCUACCUGUUUGUGCGUUCCAGUGCAUUCAGUGGGCACUUGUUCUAUUUCAAACGGGAAGUGACGUAGUUAAACUGGAAGUACAUAUAACGUUUUUGUCUGAGAAGCUGGAGACAGUUUCGUAGCUGUACUGCAAAAGACAAGUUUUGAGAUCAAAGACUGUCAAGGUCAGUUCUCACCUUUUUUUAUAGAGUACAAAGGGUUGAAGGAUACAUGUUUCUAGUGGGCAAUUGAUGGAGCGUCCGUGGGUGGGGAGGGUGCUGUUUCUGUUCCGUUUCUGCAAACUCUUGGAUGAUGCUUGUUUUAGUUUUAUUCGCAUCUGACCGUUUACCAUAUAAAACUUUGCCAAUUAUGUUUGUUAUAUUCCCAGCGUGUAUCUCUUUGCAUUACCGGAGCGGUUGGGUAGCCUAGUGGUUAAGGUGUUCGCUCGUCACGCUGAAGACCCGGGUUCGACUCCGACAUGGGCACAAAAACAUUCUCAGAAACAGAUAAACUUUAAUUGCUAAAGAGACUUGGUCAAGUCUUUCUCACAUGUCUGUGUUUGUGUCACCGGGAUGUAUUUAAUGUUUAUGUGCUUUGUCCUGUGGGGGAUACCAAUUUCAAUCGAAAUAAAGCUGAUAAACAAGUCAGAUUUACAACAUAAAUGUUCCGGAAGAGGUAAAACAAACAAUGUUCUGCAGUGUACCCGUGACUUAGUGAUAUUGACUUCUAUUAUCACAAUAUUCAAUCAUAUACAAGUCACGACAAUUCGAACUUCCCUUUCAUCUGGCCUUUUUAAAAUGUGGGCGUUGAUUCCUAAGUGAAACACAACAACGAGUUAAGUCGCUUUUCUUCCUUAAACCUAUCAACCCGUCCAGUUCACUCCAACUUGUAUAUUUAAGUCAGGGAGUGUAUGUUGUUUAACACUGCUGUCAGCAAUAUUACAGUCAUGUUAUGAAGGCCUGAGCUUUGACAAGGAAACCUGUGGGUGACAUC